AACGAACGCUGGCGGCAUGCCUAACACAUGCAAGUCGAACGAGACCUUCGGGUCUAGUGGCGCACGGGUGCGUAACGCGUGGGAACCUGCCCUUAGGUUCGGAAUAACUCCCCGAAAGGGGUGCUAAUACCGGAUAAUGUCUUCGGACCAAAGAUUUAUCGCCUUUGGAUGGGCCCGCGUUGGAUUAGCUAGUUGGUAGGGUAAAAGCCUACCAAGGCGACGAUCCAUAGCUGGUCUGAGAGGAUGAUCAGCCACACUGGGACUGAGACACGGCCCAGACUCCUACGGGAGGCAGCAGUGGGGAAUAUUGGACAAUGGGCGAAAGGCUGAUCCAGCAAUGCCGCGUGAGUGAUGAAGGCCUUAGGGUUGUAAAGCUCUUUUACCCGGGAUGAUAAUGACAGUACCGGGGGAAUAAGCUCCGGCUAACUCCGUG
This 433-nucleotide ribosomal RNA is filed under the name uncultured bacterium. RNAcentral describes it as "partial 16S ribosomal RNA". It matches the Rfam family "Bacterial small subunit ribosomal RNA", at positions 29 to 507 of the family's 1533-position model. The record is from RNAcentral.